GCUUGUUGGUAAUUUUGCAUCU
Molecule: microRNA, 22 nt
Filed under: Nematostella vectensis (starlet sea anemone)
Lineage: Eukaryota; Metazoa; Cnidaria; Anthozoa; Actiniaria; Edwardsiidae
Description: nve-miR-2027-5p
Source: miRBase by way of RNAcentral